Sitophilus oryzae (rice weevil) is the source of this 307-nucleotide long non-coding RNA. RefSeq lists it as uncharacterized. The transcript has 3 exons. The record is from RefSeq and is a predicted model, not a curated record. Lineage: Eukaryota; Metazoa; Arthropoda; Insecta; Coleoptera; Curculionidae.
CCGAGAUAUUGUCAGAUUUUUCAGUUUGUUUUUGGAUAAUUUCGCGACGAGAUUGCCCAGAGAGGUGGAGAGACGAUUUUUCGAAAAAGGGGAAAAAUUUUGCGAAGUGUGAGGUGAAAAAAGCUUCGGUUUUUUGGAGAUCUAGAUUUUAUUUUCUUGUGAAAACAUAGAAUCAGAUGCCAUGGCUUCAAGCCUACAAUACGCUUCAUGGAUUUUAAUCUUGGUAUUAAUUAUAUCAAUAAACAACAACAACGCAACAGAAAAUGUUAACAAUUCGUCACUACACUACGAAUACGUUCUUCUUGAA